Molecule: microRNA, 21 nt
Filed under: Eptesicus fuscus (big brown bat)
Lineage: Eukaryota; Metazoa; Chordata; Mammalia; Chiroptera; Vespertilionidae
Description: efu-miR-9301
Source: miRBase by way of RNAcentral
AGUCUGCUGGGGAUGAGGUCA